This 253-nucleotide ribosomal RNA is filed under the name uncultured bacterium. Its description in RNAcentral is "partial 16S ribosomal RNA". It matches the Rfam family "Bacterial small subunit ribosomal RNA", at positions 524 to 776 of the family's 1533-position model. The record is from RNAcentral.
UACGGAGGGUGCUAGCGUUAAUCGGAAUAACUGGGCGUAAAGGGCACGCAGGCGGUCAUUUAAGUGAGGUGUGAAAGCCCCGGGCUUAACCUGGGAAUAGCAUUUCAAACUGGGAGUCUAGAGUACUUUAGGGAGGGGUAGAAUUCCACGUGUAGCGGUGAAAUGCGUAGAGAUGUGGAGGAAUACCGAAGGCGAAGGCAGCCCCUUGGGAAUGUACUGACGCUCAUGUGCGAAAGCGUGGGGAGCAAACAGG